This 40134-nucleotide long non-coding RNA is filed under the name Malus domestica (apple). RNAcentral's name for it is "long non-coding RNA (MDOM_LNC008886)". Lineage: Eukaryota; Viridiplantae; Streptophyta; Magnoliopsida; Rosales; Rosaceae. The record is from RNAcentral.
ACAACCAAAAACCCAUUCUUAACGAAGGAUGGGAAAAAUGGUGCCUUCACAAGUGACCUCUCUUGUGGUCACUCUCCUAGUGGCAAUAGUCUCUCUCACAUUGCCUUCAGAAACUUCAGCUAACUACCCUUACACCUCUCCACCACCACCGGCCUCUCCUCCCUACCAUUACAAGUCACCACCGCCUCCUUCUCCUUCUCCUCCAGUGCACUACUCACCACCUAAGCAUCCCUACCACCCUAAGUCACCACCACCUCCUGUGUACGCACCACCUAAGCAUCCCUACCACCCUAAGUCACCACCACCUCCUGUGUACCCACCACCUAAGCAUCCCUACCACCCCAAGUCACCACCACCAUCACCAAAGCCUUACCACUACAAAUCCCCACCACCACCUCCUGCUCCAGUGCACUCACCACCCCCACCUAAGGAGCCAUACCACUACAAGUCCCCACCACCACCACCCAAGAAGCCCUACCACUACAAAUCUCCCCCACCACCUCCUCCUCCAGUUCACUCACCACCACCACCCAAGGAGCCUUACCACUACAAAUCUCCACCACCACCACCCAAGAAACCUUACUAUUACAAGUCUCCUCCACCACCACCAAAGAAGCCUUACCACUACAUGUCUCCUCCCCCACCGGUGUACUCACCACCUCCACCAGUGCACUCACACCCACCACCAAAAAAGCCUUACCAUUACAAAUCUCCUCCCCCGCCAGAAUAUUCACCAGCUCCACCAGUGCACUCAACCCCACCACCAAAGAAGCCCUACCAUUACAAAUCCCCACCACCACCACCACCACACAAGAAGCCUUAUUACCCUGUUCACUCACCACCUCCACCUAAGAAGCCUUACCACUACAAAUCCCCACCACCACCUUCUCCUACUCCUCCUAAAUACUCACCACCUAAGCACCCCUACCACUACAAGUCUCCACCACCACCACCAAAGAAGCCUUACCAUUACAAGUCCCCACCACCUCCUUCUCCUACUCCCCCUAAAUACUCACCACCUAAGCACCCCUACCACUACAAGUCACCACCACCACCACCCCAAGAAGCCUUACCACUACAAGUCUCCACCACCACCACCUCCUCCAGUUCCCACACCAUCUCCACCCAAGAAACCUUACCACUACAAGUCUCCCCCACCACCCCCUCCAGUCUACAAGUCUCCUCCACCACCAGUUUACUCACCACCACCACCACCUAAGAAACCUUACAAGCCACCAACUCCUCCAGCAGUUCACCCACCACACGGUUACAUCUAUUCCUCACCCCCACCUCCUCACCACUACUAGAUAUUGAAAGUUUAAUUGCAUCAAGCUGGUAAGCUUCUCCAUUCUAUGCUAUUAUUCAUUAAUUAGUUAGUACUACUGUUGUCAAUUUGGAAAUCACCAUACAACCAAAUGCACACUCUGACGAAAUAACAUAUAAAUUCUAAUUGAAUAGUCUUUAUUUCCAUUUUUGGCUAAUAAUCCUUAUUAGCAUAUGGAUAAUGUAUUUCCAACAUAUCGUUAUUAACUUAUUACUCAAUUAAUAUUUCUUUUUCUUUAAAUUCAGUAGCCGUGUGUAACAAAUAGACCAAUGGCAGAGACCCAACAAAUAACAAUAAUAUGUCUUUGCAGGUAAGGGAAGAAGAAAGGUCAGAAUAAAGAGGGGCUGUUGAAGUCGAACAGCGCGCCUUAUUACCACACAAAGAAGAAGAGAGAGAAAAAAACGAGUCUCCACGCAGCUGCUGAUGUGACGUGUUUUAUGUAUGCGAUAUUCGAUAGAGGUUCAUAUUUUCCUUGGAAUAUUAGACAGUUGUAGGGCACUCAUGUUCCAUGUAUUUUAUUUCCUGUUUCUCAAAAGAGAUGGUAUAUGUAUGUUGUUUGUUUCAACCUUCUAAUGGAGAGGUGAUCAUCAUAAUAAUAAAAUAAAUACAUUCCCCAAAUUUUACUUAAUUUCUCAUAUAUCUGAUAUGUUUUACUCUCUUAAUUAAAGUUUCCUAAUAAUGUUAUAAAAACCACGUAUAUCACAUUGGUGUACCAUUUAUUCUCACAAGUAAUGUCACGUCAAUUAAUGAGUUUAUCUCAUUGAAUAGUAAUUGACUUGCUUACAUUAUAUGGUAAUAAUGUGGUGUAAAUAUGUCGCAUCGUCCUUAACAUCACUCUAAAUUUCUUGGUAAUAAUAUAUGCGAGCAGUGUUAACAAAUCAAAGGAUGAGAAAGAAGAAAAACUAUUUGCAAAUUCUUAUUCUUAAUAUUUCAUAAACACAAAAUAAAGAAGACUAUGAAUUGUUCAAAUGCAUACUAAGUGAUCUAUUUUGGCAAAUCAUCUUAGUAUUGUAUUAUUUUCUUCAAUUAAGUGAUCUAUUUUUUUUCAAUUUGUUUUCCAUAUUUCAUGGCUUAAAUUUGUGAUUACUUUUUCAACAUAAAUGUCAAAUACUUUUUCUAAAAGUUAAUGUUGUCUAUUAUUUAUCCGUUGCUGGGAAAAAAAGUUAAAGUGGUAAUCUUAUUGAUAAAACUUAGUUCACUACACUAUAUAUACAAUUGUCUUCCGGUAGACCAUCAUGGAUAAAAAAUCAAAAGGAUUAUCGAAACCCCAAAAAAUUCUCACUAGUAGAAAGAUUGUUCAAAUUCUACAAUGAACCACAAGAAGUCUAACUCACUUGGUCAUUGCUGAUUGACUAUCAUUACUAGGUUAAAGCAACAUUUUAAGUUUUAACCUAAAUAGGAUCUCAACAAGCUAGGGUUUGAGAUUAGUGUUUUAGGUGACGACAGAGCUCUUUCCUUUCUUUAUGUUAUCCAAACUCUUUUUCUUUUUUCAUUUUUAUCAAGAAACUGUAGGUCUCAAUCAAAUUUAUGGAUUAUGGAUUUUAGUUAUGUAUUCUUAGUGUGGAAAUUUGACUAUAAAAUACGUUGACACUUGUCCUUUAAACUAAUGCAACCGAACAAACUUGUAGUUAACAAUUUUAUUAAGAGAGAUUAUAUUCACACACUUCAAAUUACUUAUGUCACACCUUUCUAAUUUUUUAAUAUUUUCUACACACCACUAACACUUGAAAGAAAAAAUAUUAAAAAAAUUAAAAGAGUGUGGGGCAAGUAAUUUGGGGUGUGUGAAUAUAAUCUCUCUUUCAUUAAAUCAUAACAUGGUGGAGUGAGUAAGUGAUGAGGAAAGACAAUUACGUCGCUCAUAUGCAAAUGAGUGGACAAACCUUCCAAUGGAUGCAACGGUGGUCAUGAAUUAUGAUUGUGUGUAGGGUUUCGAGUUACCGACGUUGACUGUCAUGCAAAUUGAGUACGUAGCCACUUACACUUAAUGGCAGAGGUCGAUGAUUUGCGCUACGGAAAAUGGUUUGAUUUGCUUAUACCAAUUACCAAACAAAGCAAAUAUAUUCGUCCUUUUGGUUUGGUUGUCAACUGUCAAGUAUGCGUUAGAAUUUUUUAAUUUGGGUUAAAUAAAAUAAAAAAACAAUACUCAAAACUUUUUGGGGAUGAGAUCUGAGAAAUUUAAUUUUUUCCCUUCAUAUAUUAGGGAUGAAAGUUGACUUAAUCACACACAAUGGAUCAUACCAACAAUAAUUUAGUAUCGAAUUCAUCAUUCAUGAAAAUCAUAUUUGAGCCUAAAUAAAAAUAAGCAUGUUAUGGGGUCAAUCUACUUUUAUUUACAGAAAGUUGCACGACUCAGGCCCACCAACUUCAAAGCCUAAUUCAAGAUCAUAUCACAAAGCUUGGGCGACCUUUUUGUCCCCCUCCUAGCUAUUCGAGGGCUUGGGUAGAUCUCUCUAUGAAGUGCGUCCACCACGCAGAUGACCAGACCCGGGAAUAUCUCGCCUCCUUAAAUGUUGAUGUACGCAUCAUCUAACAUGCUAAUGUCACCAUUGCAAUUAUGAAAACGGCCAUGAAAUACAGUUUAAGGCCACCAACCAGAAAUUAUAGUCAAUGUCAACUCACCGAUCUACCCAUGCUCCAUCUUAGCCAUGAGAUCGAGGUUGCUCUUGCUUCAUUGCCUAUAAAUAGAGUGGGAAACCUUCAAACUUAGGACCUUCGUCUGAUCCAAUCUCUACAAUUAUAUAAAACCUCGAUUGAUUCUUCAAUCAACCCAACUUCUUUCAAAGUACAAUCCAAUUGCUCUUCAACUACAAUCACAAAGCCUUCGUUAAAAGCAAACAUUGCCUAUGUCCCUGAGAUCUUAAACUUUUACAGCUUUUCCAACCCGUGGUAUGAUUCGGUUGAUGUGUCAAUCCAACCACCCUGAUUUCCUCUUAGAGGCACAUGUUUUGGACUAAGUCCAAUUUGAUACCAGAGACCUCAGUGGACUCCUCUAGCAUUAUCUAUCCCUUCAUGGCCUAAAUCUUGUAAGAGUUUUUACAGCUUUCUUUACAAUUUUACUCAAUUUUCAUUUCAAGUCAUGUAGCUCGGCCCAUCGGCCAAGAUUUUACUUUUAUAUAAUGCUUGUAAUGUUGACUUCAUUAUGAAAUAAUUACAUUUUGUUCAUCACAUUAUUUUCCAUUUUCCUUUUUCAUGUUUUAGGCAAAAACACAAAAAAGUUACAUUGAAUUUUAAGUCCUCAUUCACUCAAGGCAUAGAAAAAAACUUAAACGAACUAGCGUCUCAUUCAAUGCACAACAAUUGGUUAAGAAGUCAGAUCUUUGCGCAACUUUCACACACAUCCAAAUACAAAGAUUGUCUGUUGACAGCCUCCAACAAUAGCACACCCAUUCUCUCAUUUUCUCGAGCCACCUCGUGACAUUGAUAUAAAAAAUAACACUCGGGGAAAAUAAAAGUUACAGUAGUAGUGAAAGAAAUUUAGUUGUUGUAAUAACUGAAUUUUGAAGGGCAUAUUAAGUAAUAAAAAUUAUGAGCAGAUAGUAUUUGCCCCAUUUGGCCUAGUGUCGACCAAAAAUGUACCUUCACCUAGAAAAGGAUUGUAGAAAGUGAAGUUAGUUCAAUAAUUGUCCUCUUUUUUGUUUUCUUUUUCGAUAUUUUAAGUGCUAUAUUGAGACUUUGGGGGCUUUUUUUUCCCAAAGCUCUGGCCUAUUCCGCGAAGAACUGAGAUUGAAUGGAGACUUUAUCAUUCUCACUAAUAUUAUAAGAAAAAUUGCACAAUACCAUUGUAUUAUUAAUUUGAGACAAUGGUAUUAAUUAUAGACAUUACAAUAGUGUCAAGAAUAAUGCAAAUAACUCAUUCUCCUUUGUUUAUUAGGUCGAAUUUCACUAGCUACAAAUAAGUUUAGCGGGGUGUAAGGAUGGAGACUUUAUCAUUCUCACUUAUAAAUCAUCAUAUAUUUAGGUGUGGGGUAAGGGGUUGGGGUAGAUUAGGUCCCAGGUUCGAGGCCUGGUGGGGUGGGGUGGGGUUGAAAAAAAAAAUCAUAUAUUUAGGUGUGGGUUUGGAAGGUAGACUUGAUUCCGCGGUGUUUUGAGGAGGAGGAGGGCAAUCUUAUUCUUGGUUUACCAAUAAGUUUAGCAGGGUGUAAGGAUAGAGUCAUAUGGCACUAUUCAAGAAAAGUUGCAAAACCACUAAAACUUUAUUUUAAGAGUCAAAUCUACUAAAUUCUUCUCCAAGAGACUUGAUAAAGGACUCUAUAUAAUAGCAAGUUGCUCUUUAAAUUUAUAAGUAAUGCCUAAUGGGGCUUUUAAGAAAAUAUUAAUAUUUAAAAAAAAAGUAUUAAUUUUUGUUUUAGACAUUGUAUAAGGAAAAUGAUAAGCAUACAUCCUUUUUAGCCUCGAUCAACACUUAUAUUUAAUCUUGUUCAUUAUUUUUGUUUGAUUUAUACAAUGCGAUGGUCAAAAAAAUAAAUAAAAAAUAUGUUUGAGAAGUUAAAAAUGAUGUGUGAAAAUCACCUGCCAAUAAACAAAUCUAUUAUUAAAACUAAUACAAACUUUAAAACUAAAACUCAUGAUCAAUUAAGAAACGCUCAAGUCAAAUUCAUAAUAGCCAUAAAACAUAAAACACCUAAAUUUACUAUGCCAAUUCAAUCAACAAUCGUAUUAUAAAUAUGUUAAAUCCUUACAUGAAUGGAAUUGUUAGCCCAUCAAUCCAAGUAAUUGAAUGAUCUUUGGAGAUUUACUUAAGAGCAGUAUUAAUAUGAAUUAUGAACUUAUGAGAGAGAAAUAAUCUAUUAUUCUUUUCUCUAUUAGGCUAUAUUAUAUUUAUUUUGUUAUUGAAGAAAUUAUAUAUUGUAUAAUAUUUCCAUGGGGUGCAAAAACAUCGGGGCGCCUUUUUUUAGUUGGGGACCUUGUGCAAUGUCUUAUAUUCCUCCCCUUCAAUCCGGCACUGACAGGAAGGGAGAGAACGAUUUAAAAAAUGAACGGGUUGAAUUUGAAUUGAUAAUAAUUAGUAAAUUAUUUAAACUUUGUUAAAUAGAAAAUAUUGUUGAAAAUGAAAAGUUAAACUGAGUAAUUAAAAUAGUUUUUUUGACACUUUUCACUUGCUUGUUUAACAAAAAUUUAGAGCUUGUCUUUGAGAUACUCUUACUCCUUUAUUUAAAGGACUCGGCUUUUCUAUUAUAGCUGUCGUAUUCAAUAUUGUUGCAAUUAAUGAACUUAAAUCAUUUCGUUAUGACCAAAUUAAGAUAAUCAUGGACAUGUAGAUUAGGUAGCUAAUUCUGAUUUUGACUCGAUCACAUCAAGGUUAUCGUAAUUAAUGUCGGUUAAUUUAAUAUGCGUCUCUGAUCUGAUUACAUUACCAUGGUACGUAAACAUGUGUAUCCAUCUGCAAGACUCAAGAUUUAUAAUUUUGUUUUGUUUACUGUUUUUACGAAGAUAUUUAUGAUUUGAUUUUAUAAUAAAUUUUUUUUUAAAAAAAAAAUCAGAGCAAAACUGCAUCAUGGCCAACAAUCCAGCCAGAUUCAGUUCAACUAUAAUUUUGGCCAAUUUUUCAAAGCUGAUGGAUGUUAGUAGAUUUGUGUGGGGAACACUGAAAAGGCUAGAUUAUGAAAUACCAGAAAAGUAUUGACAUUUCAAUUGCUUAAACCAACCAUGAUGAAGAGUUCUAUGAAUUAUUUUUCAAAAUUUGAUUAAAUUGUGUCAUCCAGAUUAACGAACAUUGUUUCAUUGAAAUUAGUUCAUCAAGAUUGCGUAACUGGGAUAGCUUUCACACUGUAUUAACAUACAAAGAGGCUCUACUUCGUUAGAGUGUUCAAACUGUACACGUAAUUUGACUGCCGUACACAUUUUUCUUAUAUCUCUCCAAUCAACUUUAUUUUUCCUUUUGAAUAAAUUAAAGAUAAAGAAAGAAAACCAUUUUGCCUUAAAUGGCAAGAGAUUGAUGAAAAUCUACUCUAAAGAAGGGACAGGAUAUAUAUAAAUUAAAAUUCAUCAUGUACAAAGUAAGCGUAGGACAUUUUCAUCAUUUUACUUUGUCGUGCCCAUAAUUCUUUGCUCUAUAUAUUUUAUCUUUGUUGGUGGUCGAUGCUUUGGUUGGCUGUCAAUUGCGACGGACUGUCGUAAAAAUUGUCGGCAACCAACCAUGUGUUCUUGCAUGCCCGAUGUUCUCGCCACCUCACGUGGAAAUUUCCAAUGGAAUGGAGGGCCAAAUUUCAGUUUUUAUAUCAAUUUGUUUAUGUUAAAAUUUUCUUGUAAUAUAAGUCAAUGGUUGAAUUUGCAGUAGAAACAAACAAAAUAUGUGGACGAAUUUGAUAAAGUACAAGAAAAAAAAAACUGCAACUUAAGUAGAUGACGUGAUUCUUCACCCGGACAACAAGGAAGAAGACAUGAAAUCGGGAACACUGGAUGACGAAGUACACAAAUUAAACUUAUCUAAUCCAUUUUAAUAAAUUGUUACAGGGUGGCCAGUGGUCGGGAAUAAAUCACAGACUCGCAUUUCAGAUACCUCACGAACUUGAUUUUUGUUACUAACAAAUCACAUGAAGGUGACCAAGAGAAGGUUGAAAUGUCAUUGUGAGACGUCUUUCUUACCCUCGAAAGAUGAACUACCGUAAUGAAGCCACCAACUCAUCUUUUUAAAGGAAAGAAAAUCUAAGCCGUCCUAAUACAUGUUGUCACUCAUGGGAAUUAGAGAAGAAAUAUUCGUUAGCCACUUACAGUUGGAUGCUUAUUAUAUUAACUAGUUACAAAGUCAAAGGUUUUUCAUUGAAUGGAAUCAUAAGAUGUAAACAUCUAGGAUUAAUAUUUGGAAAAUAAUUAAACUCAAUCCCACCGCGUAGUUCUGUAACAAGUUUAUAUGUCUAAUAGAGUUUAUAGAUCUAAUAGUUAGUUAAGAGUAUUCAUUCUUACUCUUGAAGUUUUUUUGUUGACACUCUCUCUUUUAACCAUUUCUUGUAAUCAUUACAAGAAUUUGGAUUCUUUUAAUCCUAGGAGUGCAAUACUAAUUCUUAAUCUUUGUGUUAACCAUAAUAUCAUGACACAUAUCACCAAGUAUGAUCAGCAACUAGGAGAACGAGAGAAGAUGCGUGACUUAAGAAAAUUGAUGUGAUUUUGGAUUUUUUUUUACUUUAUGCACGCCCGCUCUUUAAAAAAAAAGAAAAAAGAUAUGUGAAAGGUGAAAAACAGUUGUUUCCGACAAACAUAAUUCACUUUCUAUAUGUGUACUUUGUAUUUUUUUUCAUCAAGUAAGGAAAUGGUGAAAAGAAAAAUGUACAUUAAUCGUAUCAUAUGAUAUAUUGUUCUUCUCAAGACAACUAAGAAGCUAAACUUAAUGUCAGAGAUUAAGACGUUUUGUUGGCUUGUCAUUCAAGGAAAGCUUAAUACAUAUAAUAUAGAGUUGGGAAGGUUAAUUUGUCCGUAUCUUGUGUAAAACAUGAUCUGGAUUUCAAACCCCCUAGACUUUUUGUUGUCCUACUCACGCAGCCCAUUCCCAAGUUCCAACCCUCCCAACAACCCUAUCCAGGAAGGCCAGCGCAGAUGUUAAGGCUGUGACCAGGGUUGUAAUACCAUCUCCAAUGGAUAAGUCAAAUCAUAAGUGGAAUGUCGCAUAAUUAAAUUUAAAAGUAAAAAAGAAGUUCCAACCGAUAGUUUUUCCGGAUCCUGAAAGAGUGGAUAACCGUGACUUAUCACCACUUGUCUUAUUUUUCGAAGAAAAAAAAAUGUCAAUCCUAUGUGAAUUAACAUGAGUUUUUGGUAUCAAAAUUGACAUGAAAAAUGUGUUGGCAAUUAAUUCUUUAGUGAUUUUAUUGUGCGGGUUUUAUUAAUGGACCAAUUCUAAAGCUUAAAAAUUAUUUUAAUUGAUUUCUUUUUCAUAAUGAACCUACGGAUAUUAAUUAUAAAUUUGACAUUACCACAUCAAUCGUUAAAAUUAACAUUUGACAUUCAUUUUUUGACUUUUCCAUUGAAGAUGUUCCAAUUAGCUUCAAAUGCCUUCGAGUUGAACUCAUGUUUGGGUCGUUUUAGGCAUGUUCAAUCUCUACUUGCAAGUAAAAGGAGUCGGGCACGAACAUAAUAUUCAGUUCGAUACAAAGAUGAGAUAGAAUUUUAGUAUGAUCAAAAGCUCGUAAAACUCUUAACAUCCCAUAUCAUUUUAUAUUGGACAUGCAAUCAUUUGAAAGUAUAGAGCUAUGCUUAAGCACAAAUUAUAUCAUUUGAACCAAGCACCUGGUACUUGGCGCGACUCAUCAACGCAGCUCUUGCAUUUUGUCCUUUGAUUUCUUCAAUAUAAAACCAUAAAUAAAUAGAAAUGUGCAAGAUAAGACGAGUCUGAUAAGAUUUCAAUAGAAGUGUUCCAUACGAACACUGUGCCAAGCACUUUUCAGCUGUUGGAUCGACGGAAUUUUACCACUGCUAGGCUAACAAUAUAAUUUCCGUUCGAUCUCUUUCAUAAACGAAACACUAAAACAUGAAUCGAUUUAUCAAUCACCCGAUUAACAUACUCCAAGAAACAGGAAAACAAUCAGUCACAAAUUACUCGCAAAUCGCAAUUAAAACGAAAGAAAUUGAGAAAUCCGGACUAGGCUACAAGCACGUCAAGUCAAGAUCGGCAAAACAUUUAAUAAAACACCAAAUCUGUCAUAUUUUCUGACCUUCCAAAUAUUCAAGUCCAUAACAGAAUGAACAAGCUGAAAACAGCAGAUGAAAUAUGCACAAAGGGAUACACCAAACGUACCUCCAUCGCGAGAAAGAUACACUGCGUUUUGUGAUCGCAUCUACACCAAGCGCUUCGUCCGACAAAACCAUCACUACACAUAUAGGUAUAGAAAAUAUCUAGCAUAGCGUCUUCAUCUCAUUUCUCAAACAGACAAUAUUAUACAAUGACAUUCAACUGGGUGUUUGCUUCGAUGAGUUCUACAACAGACAGGAAAUCAGAUCAUCAAGCACUAAUCACUAAUGACAUCGUCUCUUGAGCAAUCUCUCUAAUUUUCUCUUUCCUUGAGUGUACAGUAUAACCUCUAUAUUCAUAUGAGAAACAAACGAAAAAAACAAAGCCUCAUCCAUAUCCCAAACACCUAAAAAUGAGCCGGUCAGAAUGUUGCAAAAAGAGAAGUUUCGGGUAUUUCAGAAAUUUUCUGAGUCGUGUCAUAACUCUCAAGUGCCAUUGGAGGGUUCUGAAAUUUCCUGAGAUUUCAUGCAUUUAGUUCAGUGUGGGGCUGAGAGCCUGAUAGAACAAGGGAGAACCAAACAUCAAGAAAGACGAGAGAGAGUGUCCUACCUGGACUUCUUGGAGGAGAGAUUCAAGUUGAGCUGUUAUAUCGGAGAAGGAAGGCCGAUUGGAAGGAACUGAAUCCCAGCAACUCUGCAUUAAUUCCAAAACCUUGGGGUGUCCAUUAUUCGGAAUUUCCGGUCUCAGCCCCUGGGAAAUAGAAUGUCAAACAAAACAUAACUAUUUAGGCACAAAAGAAUUUGGAUAAAAUACUACGCUGAGUGAACAGCCAAACCAGUUGGUAUGUACCAUUGUACAUGAUUUCAGAGGCAUAAUUUAUACUUAUUUAUAUUAUAAGCAACAAAAAUGUCAUCAGAAGAUACAGAAAUUUGUUAUUCACUAAGUUUUACCCUUUUCUUGCGUUUAUAAAAUAUAUGCCUGCUUUGUAACAGCUUUUUUUAGUUUGAAUGGGAGGAUAUUCAGACCACAGGGUUACAAACAUAAACUCAGGCACGUCAUCAAUUCAAACUUUAAUUCGACAUGUAGAAUUGUCAACAUCUGUAAGAUACACACAUGGCAGGCAACAGGACGAAACACCAUAGAGGAAAAUUUAUAAUCAAGUUGCAUGAACUGUGGAUUAACAGGAUUUCUUAAGCAGCAAAUACAAUGCGGGCUAUAGAAAACACGUCUUCAUUCAUCAAUAUUCAAUACACAGACGAACAGAUAUAAAUAAUACAUAUGUAUUAUAAAUGGAUAUACGAAUAAACAAUAAACCUGUCUAACUCCCAAGGCAGCUUGCAAUGGAGUCAUGGUAUCAUAUGGAACCUGCAAUACAAAAUCAUACGAGUUUGAAAAUAAAUAAAUAAAAAAAUCUUAAGAAGUUUGAUAAUGUCCACAUCCAAAAUUCCCAAUACACAGAGGAAGCAUACUUUGGCUGUUACUAGCUCCCAAAGUACAAUUGCGAAACUGAACACAUCUGCUUUCUGAUCAUAUGGUUGAUGGUUGAUAACCUUGCAAAAUACAAGAAACCAAUAAGAUAUUGAAAUAAGAAUGUAAAUCAAUGUCGUCAAACUACGGUGCAUCUGCUAUGGUAAUGACGCAGUAACAAAACCAGAAUGUUGACAUCCAAAAUGCAAUUAACAAAACAGGAAAUUCAAUGAACCAUAGCCUGCUUGCCAAAACAAAGGGAUAUUGAUAAUUGUUUAUGAUAAACUAAUCAAUCCAUAGAUCACAACAAAGGACCAAUUUGUGAACCAAGUCCAACGGUUUAAGAGUUGACAAUAAUUUUCACGAAGAGACAAAGCAGGAAAAAAAAAGCAGAGGAAAAUAUUGAACCAGAAGAAUCGGACCUCAGGUGCCAUCCAUCGAUAGGUUCCAGUCUCUGCUGUCAUUACUCCCUCUUGAUUCUGAAACCGAGCAACACCAAAAUCUGCCACCUUUACAACCUGAAGGCAAACAAGAAAAUGAUUUUCAACUGUAAAAGAAAAGAAAAACCUAUUUGUUUUUCCUAAACAGAAAAAUAGAAUAGCCAGGAUGUGAGAGGAGAUUUCAACCAUUUAUACUUGGAAAUCUAACCAGGAAACAGUUUACCCAUUAUCAUAAACAAAUAAUGCUGUGUUUAGCUUUGAACUUUACUUAUAGUUAUUAAAAAAUAUAAAUAUACUUGUCGAAAGUAGAAUUGCAUUACCCCACAUCUUUAAACACAAAUCUAACUUCAUCAUUCAUGACAUCCUGAAAGUAUCAAAUUCACCAUCGACAAAAACUCAGAAGACAUCAAUUCCAGUAUGUCCAUGAGAAUUUUGGUCGAAUUGAACUUUUGACAUGCAGAUAUACUUCUCCCAUAAUCAAACUUCAUACCUCAAAGCACAACGCACAAUUACCCCAUACAAAACAAUAGACGGUUUGGUUACUCAAGUCCAAUAACUACAACUUAUAUCAACUAAAGCAGCAAUAGAUCCACUGAAGACAUUAGCCCUUUUAAAAAAAUUACAAACAAAUCUAUUGAACUUUAUCGUUUUCCUGUCGCCUAAGUUAAGCUGUAUAUGUACAAUGACAAAUUAAAUCAAUAGAGUUAUCAUGAAUAUGCGUAGGUUACAUUUUGCAGAAAGUGAAGCUGCCAAACAAGCAAACAAUAACCUUUAAUUCUUACAUUGUUAGUGUCCAUUAGCAGAUUUGCCGUCUUUAGAUCCCUAUGAAUUAUGUUAUUAUGAUGCAAAUACUCCAUUCCUUUACAGACAUCAAUUGCAAACUUUAGCAGUUCUGAAAGCUUCAAGAUGUUAUGAUUCUUAUGCAAAUAAUCGUAAAGACUUCCACCGGGCAUAUACUCUGCAAAAAAUAAAAAACAAAUGAAUUUUCAUAAUUAUGGUAAUAGUACAAUACAGCAACAAGUCGGCACUGGACUAAUUAUACUCAUCUCAAACUACAAACAGAUCUAAACAGUAAAGUUUUACAUAAAGAAAUCAAGAUGAAAUCAACAAUAAAGCUCUAACCAUAAAAAGAUACCCUGCCAAAUACUAUCCCAAAAUUCUCAAGAAACAACAUCCAAAGGUAAUCCCAAAACAAAAUCUAUCCCACGAAUGAUUACAUCCUUCAACUCCUAACCUACAUGAAGCUUCAUAAUACGCACCAAGUUGCCAAAGGCUGGCUGAUUGACAAAUUACAUAUAAUAGGGAAUUCCAAUAUGCACGACAUCCAAACAGCUUAGAGGAAUUUAAAAUAUAUAACACACAAGUAAAAUCUUCCUAAAUGCUGCAUACUCAGAGAAGAAGUACUAGCGCAUCCAAAACUUAAAAGAGUAUAAAUAAUGUGUAAGUAUGUUCCAACAACAACAACAAGGCAUUUUCCCACUAAGUAGGGUAGGCUAUAUGAAUCCUAGAACGCCAUUGCGCUCGGUUCUGUGUCACAUCUUCUGUUAGAUCCAAGUACUCUUAAGUCUUUUCUUAUAGUCUGUUCCAAAGCCUUCCUAGGUCUUACUCUACCCCUUCGGCCUUAAACCUCUGUCCUGUAAUCGCAUCUAGUGUAAGUAUGUUCCAAGAAAGAUAUUUUUAGUUCCAUUAAUACUUCUCCUGAUCCUAAUAAAAAUUUUCAAAAAGAUAGAAUGAAAACUUUGGUUGGCUACACCUAUAUUGGUGGAAACCAUCCGAUGUCAUUGAUUUUUUGUAGAAUGAUAUCCUUUGGUCCAUAAAAGAUAUUUUAUGAGAUCCGUUUUGGCGAAUGGUAAAAGGGGAUAGCUUUUAAGAAGGGAAAUGUGAGUGUGUUGGGGUGGAUUUUCUCCCUUUUUAUGUUCCUUGUAAAAGAAUAUACUAUGCUUCACUAACAAAAUUAAAAAGUAAAAAAGAAAACUUAUAAACAAUCUGAUGCUUAUUCUUACUUUUCUUAGUUGCACUGCUUCUAAAAACAUCUCCACAUGUAAGAUUCUGAUACAGAAUGAACAAAACCUCGAAAGAAGCUAACUUAACAAAUAUAGUAAAUGUUGGAGGCAACCAACAGGAGAGUUCCAUACCUGUCACUAUGCACAAAUGUGGAGACUUUGUACAUGCACCGAUAAAGCGCACAACAUUACUAUGAUGGACCUCUCUGCAAUCAUAAAACAAAUAUAAUAUAUAUCAGUAUUGCUUAAUAGCAAUACGCAUGCCAACAUAACCUAUAAAAUGGAACAACAGUUUUCUUUUCCCUUGAAUAAGAGACAAUUUAUUAGUAAAGAAUAAGAUACAGAGAAGACACUAUGAAAAACUAGAAACAGCAAAAGGUGGAACCUAGCCAUGAAUUUUAACUGCCUAGAUGUGUGAAAUGCAGCAUGGGCUAGCUGCAUUUUACUUAACUAUCAGAAAAUUCAUUCACUUUAUGGGUUUCAAGAAUAGUUACAGCUAAUAUACCACAAAAUGAAAGACUAGCUGCAUUAAAUGUGAUUUUUUAAAUGACACAAUAAGACAUGUUUCUUGGUUCCAUUUGUAAUUACAUUUGGCAUAUUCUUCCAAAGCCUCGUCGAAAUAAAGACCAGCAACCUGGAUAUUCAACCAGCAAUCCUGGAUAUUCAACCAGCAAAUCCAGAAAACGUGAAGCAUUCUCUUGUCAUUCCCAGAGAUUAUAGGAAUUGUUCUUGUACAGGCUAGUAUAGAAGUUCAUUAUGGAGGAUGUUGGAAAAUAAUGGAAAAAUCUUUAAAAGUUUACAAGUGGAGAAGAGCUCUCAAUAGAAAUGAUAAGAGUGAUUUCAUAUGAACUCCCCAGCAGGGACCAGCCUAGAUUAAAAGAAGAUAAAGAUAGAAAAUUAUUCACCUUAAAAUUGCCACUUCUUGAGCAAACUCAUCCUCUAGAGCAUCAUUCAAAUGUUCAGAUCUCAAAAUCUUAACAGCAACAUCUUGACCAAGAUAAAUUCCACGAUACCUGAGAAUGAACAGUAAUAUAAAGUUAAGCAGCAGAGAAGACUAUAAACGAAUAAAGGAAUGCCAAAAAUAAAACAUAUCUUACAAAUCUCCACAUGACCCAGAUGCAAUUCUGUCUCCGAUCAUUAAUAAUCUUCGGUCUAUUUCCCAGAGUCCUGUCUUUUCUUUCACCGAUAAUUCUUUCUCCACAGCCGAAUGAGAAUGUGAAGAUCUUGACCAUGACCCCUAAAUUACCAAACAACAGAUACGUAUUACUAUCUUAUAAUUCUUCGAUUAUUUUAGCAUUGUGACGCAAUAUACCUCACUUCUAGCAAUUGCCUUUUCCAUAGCUUCAUACAGACCAUCUGUAUCCUGACCACAACAUUGCAAAGUCAGCAACAUUUGAACUCAGCACAGUUGUCAUAAAAUUAAUAUAAUCACAAUUCCCCUUAAUGUAUUCUGAAGACAUUUUCUUGGAGGAACUGUAGCUUUUUCGACUUGUCCAAUUUGAUAAAACCCAAUAUUUAUAACAAACAUAUUGGGAUGCAUUAGAUCCAAUAAUUGUAGCAAUGCCAUAUUACAGCCCAGAGAUAAACACUGACUAAAAAGCGUUCAUCCAUGCAUAAAAAGAGAAAGCACAUAAACAGCUUGCAGUAUAGCAAAAUCCAUAGCCAACAAAAAUAAGCAUAUUGUAGUAGCAAUGUACCACAUAUUUUAAGAAAGGCCAUCCAACGUUUCGUGUAUUGGAAAUUACUCAUUUAUAAUAUAAUAACAUGCAAAAUUUCAAGAUUCAAAACUCUGACAGUAGAAAGUAAUCUGUGAAUGACGAUAAACACAUUAUAUAGUAAAAGAAAACUACCUCAACAGGCCAUCCAUCUACCACAAAUACAUCUAAAGAGUAGCCAUCGCUCGUCGAGAAGACAUGUGCUUCACGGAUGUUAAGUUCCAAAUCCGAAAGCAAGGAAGAAAGCUACAGAAUGAUGACAUAAGUUAGAAAGAUGCGACCACAGUAUGGUUACACUUCUGCAGUUAUCUUGGAUUCUACAACAUAAACAAUGCAUAUAAUAUGUAUCAAAUGUACUGAAUAGUCCAUUGCUACCUUUAAAUUCAUUUUCCAAUUGAAUUUGAAGGCUAUAGAUUUUCAACUUUAUAUUAAUGAAAGAAAUCAUAAUGAAAAAGAACUCUUCCAAUACAACGUCUUCUCACAAUUAUAUUUAAUACCCAAGCUUACUGCAUUGAGGUGCCAGCGUGUGAGGUCUAGACACUAGAGUUGACACAAAACAUCAGAUGGAGAACCAUAAAACAUGAAUGACGGACCAUCACAGUGUCACAUGAAAACAAAGAUAGUUGCUUGAGUUAUAAACAUUAGGUAUUGAACACACAUUCAUAUUAGUGAGUACCAAGAGAACUGCUUAAGUGGAGACAGAGUAUUACAGGAUAAUGAAGCUAUCAAAUGAUGUCAAAUUUCAAUACCCUUUAACAUUGAAGAAAUUAUGUACAUGUGGACACUAAAACUACAGAAAUACUAUCACUUGAUGCUAUUCAAUCAGAUGAUCCUUUUGAUUAUUAAUUGAAAAAAGGAAUGCUGAAUCCAACUUCAUGAUCCAGAAUGUAAGUGCAAUAUCAGAUAAGUUUGUCCACUAUCCUAUCAUACUAAUCUUAUAUGACCCCUUUGAGAUAUAACUCGUUGAACAGUUGAACUUAGUUUACCAAAUAGACCUUCAGCUUUAAUUUGCAAACACGUAAGGGAACAAUCAGCAGAUUUUCGGGCUUCAAACUCUGAUUUCUUUUCAGAUUCUAAGAAUAUUUUGAAACUGAGAUCGAGGUAAACUCCAGGUGGUAAUACCAAACUUGACAACAAACGAAUAAAUUAAACCUUCUCAGUCAUACCUGGCUAAGAAGCUUAGGCUUGUCAAUAGUUGAAAAUAUUACUUCAUGAAUGGGAACAUGUGGUAUAUCUUGCCUGCGUUAUACAGCCCAAUGGUCAAUAUCAUUUCUGCAUAAUUAUACAUGUUUUUUCUUUAAAUGAGAAACAAAGUUUUACUAAAGAUACUCAAAAACACAGUACAAGACUCUGAACAAACUGGUCCACCAACAAAAUGAUUCAACUAAUGAAAAACAAAUCUGAAUUACACCUAUGACAAUGUAAUGGAACUUUCAAAAUUACCCUAUAAGAGCUUCCCAAUCUAAUAAGAUGUUAGAAAUUGGUAGAUCCCUAAAGGGUGGAGAAAAACAAGCUGAUAAGCAUAAAUGUGAUCUCUCAAAUAUACGGGCACAGUUCAUAUAAAAACUGCACAAUUAAAAUAUAAAGUAUAUGAAAAAGACCCGGAUAAAGGAGGAGGGGGAGGGCGUCAGGUAGUCGACAGCCGGCACUCCAUGAUCACGUCGAAUCCUUAUGAAAAUGAAUCCAGAACAAAAUCGCGCUAAAGCUAGGGCGUCACCCGUAAGUGGCGCGCUGUGUGGCCUGAGCACAGUGAUAAGUGAGCAAGGGUCGCUGUAUCUCCAUCGGCACCCGGAUGCAGUGUUAAAUGAGCAAGGGGGCCAUAGAAACUUCUUUUCGAACGACUCCACUCAAAGUUGUUUGGGAGCAUAUGCUCCUAUCAACUUUACCCGGGACACACAAAAGAAGUACUUUGAUCCUAUUAGACGGGGGAGGGUGAAGAAGCUAGGACAGAAGGGUAGAGUUCAAGAGAGCAAAAUGCGUUUAGGAACGUGGAAUAUAGGAACCUUAACGGGAAAAUCUAUGGAAGUAGUGGAAGUUAUGGUGAGGAGAAGGAUAAAUAUUAUGUGCCUACAAGAAACUAAGUGGGUUGGUAGUAAGGCAAAGGAUCUAGAAAACUCAGGGUUUAAACUUUGGUAUUCGGCACAAAUAGAACGAGAAACGGUGUUGGCAUCAUCGUGGACAAGACCUUGGUACAAGAUGUUGUAGAUGUCAAGAGGGUAGGAGAUAGAAUCAUGGCAAUCAAGAUUGUAAUAGGACAAGAACUUAUCAAUGUGAUUAGUGCGUACGCACCUCAAGUAGGGUUGGAUACGAGUUCGAAGGAGAAAUUUUGGGAAGAUCUUGGAGACUUGGUGCAAGGAAUUGCUCAGACGGAGAAGUUAUUUAUAGGAGGAGAUUUAAAUGGACACGUGGGCAGGGAGACAGGCAACUAUGGAGGUUUUCAUGGUGGCCAUGGUUUUGGGGAGAGAAACGAGGAUGGGGAAGCUAUCUUGGAUUUUGCAAUGGCAUAUGAUCUCUUCUUAGCCAACACCUUCUUUAAGAAGAGAGAAGAACAUGUGAUCACCUACAAGAGUGGGUCGUCAAAAACACAAAUAGAUUUUCUUCUAAUGAGGAAAGGGGAUCGUAUAACUUGUAAGGAUUGCAAAGUUAUACCAGGAGAGAGCGUGGCUAAUCAACAUCGCUUGUUGGUGAUGGAUGUACAUAUCAAAAGAGUAAGACAAAAGAACAAGACUUGGAAGUGCCCAAGGACUAGAUGGUGGAAUCUAAAAGAAGAAAAACAAGCCAUUUUCAAAGAGAAGGUAAUCACCCAAUGUGUGUGGGAUAGAGAGGGGGAAGCUAGCCAAAUGUGGGAUUCCAUGGCUAGUUGUAUCCGAAAAGUAGCAAAAGAGGUAUUAGGAGAGUCCAAGGGCUUUGCCCCACACCAAAAGGAAUCUUGGUGGUGGAAUGAGGAGGUACAAACAAAGGUGAAGGCUAAGAAGGAAUGUUGUAAAGCCUUAUACAAGGAGAGGACUGAUGAAAAUGGUGAAAGGUAUAGAAAAGCGAAGCAAGAGGCGAAGAAAGCUGUCAGAGAAGCUAAGUUAGCGGCUUACGACGAUAUGUAUAAACGACUAGAUACCAAAGAAGGAGAGUUGGAUAUCUAUAAACUAUCUAGAGCAAGGGAAAAAAGAAGACAAGGGACCUAAACCAAGUGAGGUGCAUCAAGGAUGAGGAUGGAAAGGUUCUUGCUACAGAGAACGCGGUUAAAGACAGAUGGAGAGGUUAUUUUCAUAAUCUUUUCAAUGAAGGACAUGAAAUGAGUGCUUCUUUAGGGGAGUUGAGUAACUCAGAAGAGUGUAGAAACUACUCUUUUUAUCGUCGAAUCCGGAAGGAAGAAGUGGUUGUAGCUUUGAAGAAGAUGAAGCAUAAAAAAGCAAUAGGCCCAGACGAUAUACCAAUCGAAGUGUGGAAACUUUUGGGAGAGACAGGUAUAACAUGGCUCACUGACCUUUUCAAUAGGAUUUUGAAAACGAAGAAGAUGCCAAAUGAGUGGCGAAUGAGCACUUUGGUGCCUAUCUACAAGAAUAAGGGCGACGUACAAAAUUGCAUGAACUAUAGGGGUAUUAAGCUAAUGAGUCAUACAAUGAAGCUCUGGGAGAGAGUCAUUGAGCAUAGAUUGAGGCAAGAGACACGGGUUUCGGACAACCAAUUCGGGUUCAUGCCAGGGCGCUCAACCAUGGAGGCAAUCUAUCUCUUACGAAGAUUGAUGGAAAUAUAUAGAGAUGGGAAAAAGGAUUUACACAUGGUCUUUAUAGAUUUGGAAAAAAGCGUAUGAUAGGGUCCCAAGAGACAUUCUUUGGAGGAUUUUAGAGAAGAAAGGAGUAGUACGAGUAGCAUAUAUCCAAGCUAUAAAGGAUAUGUAUGAAGGAGCAAAGACUGCCGUAAGAACUCAUGAAGGACAAACCGAAAGCUUUCCCAUAACUGUAGGAUUACAUCAAGGCUCAUCCUUAAGUCCUUACCUUUUUGCGUUGGUAAUGGAUGAGUUAACACGACAUAUUCAAGAUGAUAUUCCUUGGUGUAUGCUUUUCGCAGACGAUAUAGUGUUGAUAGAUGAAACUCAGGAAGGGGUAAAUGCAAAGCUUAACCUUUGGAGAGAAGUGUUGGAAUCUAAAGGUCUUCGCCUAAGCCGAUCAAAGACAGAAUAUAUGGAGUGCAAGUUCAGUGCAAAUGGAGGCCAAAACGAGUUAGGGGUGAGGAUCGGAGAUCAAGAAAUACCAAAGAGCGACCGUUUUCGUUACCUAGGAUCUAUCUUUGCAAAAGAACGGAGAAUUAGAUGGAGAUCUCAACCAUAGAAUACAAGCUGGAUGGAUGAAGUGGAAGAGUGCAUCCGGCGUGUUGUGUGACCGCCGUAUGCCACUGAAGCUCAAGGGAAAAUUUUAUAGGACGGCAAUAAGGCCGGCGAUGCUGUAUGGCACAGAAUGUUGGGCGGUGAAACAUCAACACGUACACAAAAUGGGUGUAGCGGAGAUGAGGAUGCUUCGUUGGAUGUGUGGGCACACGAGAAAGGAUAAGAUUAGGAAUGAGGAUAUCCGGGGUAAAGUAGGAGUAGCCGAAAUUGAAGGAAAGAUGAGAGAAAAUCGGUUACGGUGGUUUGGACAUGUGCAAAGAAGGCCUACUGACGCUCCGAUUAGAAGAUGCGACUAUGGGACAGAGGUUCAGGGCCGAAGGGGUAGAGGAAGACCUAGGAAAACUUUGGAAGAGACUCUAAGAAAAGACUUAGAGUACUUGGAUCUAACGAAGGAGGACAUGACACAGGAUCGAGCACAAUGGCGUUCUAAGAUUCAUAUAGCCGAUCCCACUCAGUGACUUGGAUUUUCCAAGUCUCCAACCGAGAAGUUUUCCUCACUCGGGAAAUUAAGGGAACACUACCCCAACCUACAUGCUCCACUCAGAAAGCUUCAACAUACAAGCUUCAACAAAAGAAAAUUCAAAGAACUUAGCGAAGAAGGCUUUGGUGUAUUUAACACAAUACGUUGAAAUGAAGGAAAGCUUAUUUAUUGAUAUCCCCGAUAAGCUACAAAUAUGUACAUAUACAUGAGUCAAAAUAAACACAAGAGGGAGCCUUCACAAAGGUUGCUUAGGAGAAGUCUCAGCAGUCGGUAGAGCCCCAGAAAGAGAAGGCACCGGAGGGGGAUCAUUUGGAGCCUCAGUACUGGACAGAACCCUAGAAGGAGGAGGCAUCAGAGGUUGAUCAUUUGGAGCUUCAUUACGCGGUACAGCCCCAGAAGACGAAGGCAAUAAAUGCCUUUGGAACAAACCCACAAAUCUCUGAUGAUCAAGUAAAACCUGACCAUCAGUUUCCUUCAUCUGGUCAAGCUUCCUCUUCAUGUUUGUAGCAUAGUCAUGUGCGAGCCGGUGCAACUGUUUAUUCUCAUGCUUGAGCCCUCUAAUCUCCUGUUUGAGACUCAUCACUUCAGCCGCCAAUGAUUCAACUUGGCGGGUUCGAGCAAAUAGGCGUUGGGCCAUAUUAGACACAGAACCUGCACACUGAACACUGAGAGCCAGCGAAUCCUUAACAGCUAACUCAUCAGACCGUUUGGAAAGUAGUCUGUUAUCUUUGGGAGUGAGAAGGUUCCUGGCCACCACCGCAGCGGUCAUAUCAUUCUUCAUCACGGAAUCCCCAACGGUAAGAGGACCAGUAGGGGAGACGAAGGAUGGGCGCCAUAUGUUGUCUGGAGAAGGCGGGGCUGCCUCUUCAACAAGGUUCAAGUCAAAACGACGGUCGGAGGGGCCAGACAUUUUCAAAGGUGUUGAAGAGAGAAGAGGUCGGACAAAUCAAGAUCUUAGAAGUGCAAGAAUGAAGCUUCUACUGGUGGAGAUUCAAGUGUGCUUUGGAACUUAAUGCCAGCCCCUAUAUAAAAAUCUGCACUCGACGAAGCUUUAGAAAUCGAAGAGGCGCCUGCUCAGAAAUCGAAGAGGCGUUUGCUUUCUCAAAAGCUGGGCUGCUUAGAGAUCACGAGGGUUGAUCUCAGAAAUCGAAGAGGUGUUUGCUUUCUCAAAAGUUAGGCUGCUCAAAGACCACGAAGGCCGAUCUCAAAAAUCGAAGAGGCGCUCGCUUUCUCAAAAGCUGGGCUCCCCAGAGACCACGGGGGCCGAUAUCAGAAAUCGAAGAGGCACCUACUUUUCCAGCCUUUUCCAGCCUUGUCAGCACCUGUCACACGCACACUCAGUUUUGCGGAAAUUAUGGGCAUUCUGUCAAAGACUUCUGGGGAAGUAGAAAACACAUGAAUCUUACUGUUCAAUCACCCACUUCCCACACGCAACAAUAGCUCAUGGGUACCACAGAUAACUUUGCCAAAGUUCUCUGCCAAAGUUGAGCACGUGAAGCUUGCAGCUCCUACUACAUCGCUCUGACCAAGAAGGGUAAAAGAAUAGCAAAGAAACAGCACUAACAAAGUUUAGACCCAUAAAUUUUGAAGGUCUAGCUACCAUAUUAUUACCCACAAGGGUAAAGGAACAGUACCACUGCUGGAUAAUUGGAAAGUCCCUGUGUGUCAACCUCUGUGCUUCGUGGCAAGGUAGACUAGCAAACAUGCCCAACCUUUACUCACAUUCGAGAAAACACUCCCAAUAAGAUUGCUUGCUCCAAAAUCGAAGAGGCACCGUCCUCCGAAUCUCGAGAGCCAGACUCCCAACAUGACUACUUUCUUAAAAAUCGAAGAGAGAGGGUAAAGGAACAGUACCAUUGCUGGAUAAUUGGAAAGUCCCUGUGUGUCAACCUCUGUGCUUCGUGGCAAGGUAGACUAGCAAACAUGCCCAACCUUUACUCACAUUCGAGAAAAACACUCCCAACAAGAUUGCUUGCUCCAAAAUCGAAGAGGCACCGCCCUCCGAAUCUCGAGAGCCAGACUCCCAACAUGAUUACUUUCUCAAAAAUCGAAGAGACACUGCUCCCCGAAUCUCGAGAGCCAGACCCCCAGCAUGAUUGCUUUUUCAAAAAUCGAUGAGGCAUCGUUCUCCGAAUCAAUCGAAGAGGCGCUCGCUUUCUCAAAAGCUGGGCUGCUCAGAGACCACGAGGGCCGAUCUCAGAAAUCGAAGAGGCACCUACUUUUCUAGCCUUGUCAGCACCUGUCACACGCACACUCAGCUUUGCAGAAAUUAUGGGCAUUCUGUCGAAGACUUCUGGUGAAGUAGAAAGCACAUGAAUCUUACUGUUCAAUCACCCACUUCCCACACGCAACAAUAGCUCAUGGGUACCACAAAUAACUUUGCCAAAGUUCUCUGCCAAAGUUGAGCACGUGAAGCUUGCAGCUCCCACUACAUCGCUCUGACCAAGAAAGGUAAAAGAAUAGCAAAGAAACAGCACUAACAAAAGUUUAGACACAUAAAUUUUUGAAGGUCUAGCUACCAUAUUAUUACCCACAACUGUAAAGGAACAGUACCACUGCUGGAUAAUUGGAAAGUCCAUGUGUGUCAACCUCUGUGCUUCGUGGCAAGGUAGACUAGCAAACAUGCCCAACCUUUACUCACAUUCGAGAAAACACUCCCAAUAAGAUUGCUUGCUCCAAAAUCGAAGAGGCACCGACCUCCGAAUCUCGAGAGCCAGACUCCCAACAUGAAUACUUACUCAAAAUCGAAGAGAGGGUAAAGGAACAGUACCAUUGCUGGAUAAUUGGAAAGUCCCUGUGUGUCAACCUUUGUGCUUCGUGGCAAGGUAGACUAGCAAACAUGCCCAACCUUUACUCACAUUCGAGACAACACUCCCAACAAGAUUGCUUGCUCCAAAAUCGAAGAGGCACCGCCCUCCGAAUCUCGAGAGCCAGACUCCCAACAUGAUUACUUCCUCAAAAAUCGAAGAGACACUGCUCUCCGAAUCUCGAGAGUCAUACCCCCAGCAUGAUUGCUUUCUCAAAAAUCGAAGAGGCAUCGUUCUCCGAAUCUCGAGAGCCAGAUACCACAGACCACUUUUUCAAAGUGCUCUGACAGAGUUAAAACAUGUGAAACUGGCAGCUCCCACUACCGUGCUAUGACCAAGCAGGGUAAAGGAAUAGCAUUACUACUUGUUGUUAGGGAGACUCCUAUAUAUGUCGACCUCCAUCCCCAACGGACAGGCAGACCUGCAAAAAUGCUCAACCCUUCAUCAUAUCUGAGAGGGCACUCCCAACGAAGCCUUUCGAAAUAUUCAGCUUUCUUUCCCCCCGAUAAUACCUCUGCAAACAAGCUAUACUAGAGCAAGAAUAUCUCAUAUCAUCAGGGUUAAAAGCAAGAGUAUCCCAUAUCAUGCUUUUUCCCUGUCUUUUCUUUUUGGCCUUGUUUUUACCUGCAAGACAAGGAGAAAGAGAGCAAUCAGUCAGCACUUGGAAUCAAGCUUCCAGCCAGGAACUGACUGCCUGGAACCCCUUACCUGAUUACUUACCUGGCAUUGCUCUCGAGUACUCAUCUUCAACAUCUUAUGUUUCCAGGGAAGAUUCCGCAUCUGCUUGAGGAACAGAUAGGGCAAGUGCGAAGGAUACAAGGAAGCAUGUGGAGACAAGCGUAACAGCACACGUGCCGAUACAUUCAUUACUCUGUCAAAAGCAAAAGUAUCCCAUAUCAGCAGGGUGGAACGUACUCUAGAUUUGAUGGACUUGUUUUGACCCUCAAAUUCUUCAGUCGGCCUUAUACUCUGGAGAAAACCAGAAAACCCUCCAGCUCAGUUCAAGAAUAAGCCUGUGGAAAGUUACUUCUUCAAAAGCAAAAGUAUCUCAUAUCAUCUCUUCUCAUUUUUCUUCUCUUUUAUCCUUCAUGCUGCUGCAAGAUGGGGAGAAGGUGAACAAUCAGUCGGAGCUCUGAUUGCUUACCUUGUCUGUCACCUCUUUCAGCAGACCCCUAGCUCGGCGACUUGGGGGACUCCUACUACAUGGUUUGUAUCGCGCUUGACCAAGCCUGAAACUACAAGUAAGCUUCAAGUGAAAUUGAUACAUUACCUUGUGCAUCUCCACCAGUUAAAGAUAUCCACCCCUGGAUGGAGGAAGAGUACUUCCAGAGAAGAUGCCACAUCUACCUAUGAGACAGAUAAGGCAAGUCAAGACGACACCACACUCCGAUACUUAGAAGUUUCGUGAUUACGAGAUCAUUCUCCCACAAUAUUUCCUAAUGUCAUUUGUACUAAAAUCAUUCACUUGUACUCACUAAAUGAGAGCUUGAACCUAUGUACUUGUGUAAACCCUUCACAAUUAAUGAGAACUCUUCUAUUCCGUGGACGUAGCCAAUCUGGGUGAACCACGUACAUCUUGUGUUUGCUUUCCUAUCUCUAUCCAUUUAUAUACUUAUCCACACUAAUGACCGGAGCAAUCUAGCGAAGAUCAUAAAAAGCGAUCGUUUUCGCUACCUAGGAUCUAUCUUGCAAGAGAACGGAGAAUUAGAUGGAGAUCUCAACCAUAGAAUACGAGCUGGAUGGAAAGAGUGCAUCCGGCGUGUUGUGUGACCGUCGUAGGCCACUGAAGCUCAAGGGAAAAUUUUAUAGGACGGCAAUAAGGCUAGCGAUGUUGUAUGGCACAGAAUGUUGGGUGGUGAAGCAUCAACACGUACACAAAAUGGGUGUAGCGGAGAUGAGGAUGCUUCGUGGGAUGUGUGGGCACACGAGAAAAGGAUAAGAUUGGGAAUGAGGAUAUCCGAGGUAAAGUAGGAGUAGCUGAAAUUGUAGGAAAGAUGAGAGAAAAUCGGCUCCGGUGAUUUUGAACAUGUGCAAAGAAGGCCGACUGACGCUCCGGUUCGAAGAUGUGACUACGGGACAGAGGUUCAGGGCCGAAGGGGUAGAGGAAGACCUAGGACAACUUUGGAAGAGACUCUAAGAAAAGACUUAGAGUACUUGGAUCUAACGGAGGACAUGACACAAAACCGAACGCAAUGGCGUUCUAGGAUUCAUAUAGCCGACCCCACUUAGUGGGAAAAGGCUUUGUUGUUGUUGUUGUUGUUGUUGUUGAUUAAGCAUUAAUAUCAGCAUAAAGAAAAAUUAUUUUCUAUUUUUAAUUUGGAAAAUAAGACCUUUAGCAUAUUACUUCAUAAAUAUGUGUAUUUACUAUUUAUGCGUGCAUGCAUAUGUUUGUCUUUAUACAAUUUCAUGAUCACAUUGUACACUUCUAUGUAUCAUGUCUACCCUUUAUACACAUGAAAUAUCAUAUACAGUAAUUGCUUGUCAACACAUUCAUUAGAGCUUUACAAAUCGUUUAUCUAAUUUCUGUUUGAUAAGAUACAACAAAUUUAUCAGAAUAAAAUUUUGAUAAAAAUAGUGCACAUUAAAGCAAGAAGAAAGUAAGUUUUAAACAAGUGUCUUCCAACCUAUAGAAAGAGGGCUUCUCAAAAUUCCACCCAAAACUUUAACACUGAAAGCCUAUAAUAAGGCAACAUACAUUAUUCUACCCCUAAUUGCUACAAAUUCUUGAUGCUUGACCCAUAGCAAUUUUUCAGUGUGCAUCUCAAUAUUAACUUAGUCUUCAUCAUCCCAAGUCCUCAAAAAUGUAUACGCAAAAUAUGAGAAGUCAAAUGAAGCAAAACAAUAACUAACUUCGCUGCACAUAACAAUCUGCUCCAUAACUUAACCAAUGCAUAUGUUCAUCCAAAAGAAAAUGAUGCAUCUAUUCACCAUUCUUUCUACUGUUAAUUCACCAUUUACGAUAUAAAGAAAGGUCUGACUCACCUUCGAAGAAAAUUACUAGUGCUAAAUUUUUCAUAAGCUUUGCCCAAGGUAAAAGUUAACUUUCCUAGGAACCAGUGGAUUCCAUUAAAUCUUUAGGAAAAAAACUGAUAGAGUGACAACCAAUCAACCUUCAGAAUAAAGAGUUCCUACAAAAGAGUUCCUCAAAAUAAUUAGGGACCAAAGCCAUUAUGACUUGUUGCUCUUGAUAUGCAAUGGGUUUCUAUUGAGCACUUUCAUUUUGGGUAUUGUUGGUUAGAGACCAAAAGCUUGCAGCUCACUAAGAUAAAGUAAACGAGUAAACCAAUAUAUUGGUGGCAAUUGAUGUAUCAAAUGGUAAGAAUUAAUCUGACAAUGUGAAAAGGAUGGUGAUUUUCACACCCCAUUUACCUCCCGCACACUCUUUCGAUUUUUUAAUAUCUUUUUGCUCUUCCAUCACUUUGUCUUUAUUUUAGAGGUGGGCCUUCACCAAGAGCAAACAAAUAUUAAAAUUUUGAAAAUGUGUGGGAAGUAACAUGGGGUGUGAGAAAAUCACCACCCAUGUGAAAAAAUUAAAAAUCUUGUUAUAAUGAACCCAGUAGUGCUUAUUCUAGAACAGAAAACAAGCCAACAAACUUUGGUUGAGUACCUUGUGGGAGAAUCCUUGGUCAGAUGUCUUCCGUCCAUAUCCUUAGCAUUCUUUCUAACAUCCAAAUUUAGGUCCCCGAGCUUAGAGCAAGGUUCAAAGUCAGCCGCACAAUUCCUAGUUUUACUCAGAGAAAUGAUAUAAAUAAAUGACAACCAAAAAAGGUCCACAGAUCAAUAUCCAGAGUCACCGAAACCCUUGUUGGGAAAAACUACGGCAAAAAGUUUAAGCACUCAGAGACAAAGUACAACACAGAUAUAAUAUGGUUAUUACCUAUCAUGUGACAGAGUAGCUCCUUCACUAGUUUCAUCACAUGAUGACCUUGGGGUUGAAACAACACUUGUACAUUGUUGAACAUCAUCAUCUUCGUCGUCUGUCCCCAUAGAAGUAUUCUGAUCAUAAGUACAUAAAAUGAUGAACAUAAGAGGAACUUAAUGAUAAAUAAAAGGGUAAAUCGCCAAAAUGGUCCCUGAGAUUUGCAUAACUUAUCACUUUGGUCCCCAAGAUUCCAAAUCGAUAAAAGUGGUCCCUGAGAUUGUCCACCAUCCAUCAUUUUGGUCCUUCCGUUAAGUGUCCCAGAGCUCUUGGCCAGAAGUUUGGGCAAUUUUCAAAGCUUCGUAACUCAAUCGUUUCUUAACCAAAUUCGAUCCAUAAUAUAUCAAAAUGAAGAUAGGAAAGUGUAGAAUAAGAUUAUACCUAUUUCGAAGCCCAAUGGUUGCCGGAGAUGGCCGGAAAAUAGCCUCAAAGUUGACUGGUCCGAGCGAAAACUUGAAAACUCGCCGGAAACUGGGUAAACUUUAAACGUUCGUAACUUCUUCAAUACUCAACGAAAUCAAGUGAUUCAAAAACGAAAAUCAUACUUCUCGAUGAGACAAAGAGAAUGGUCUAGGUACCAUUCUCUUUGUCUUGUCGAGAAGUAUUUCUCUUUGUCUCGUCGAGAAGUAUAAUUUUCGUUUUUGAAUCACUUGAUUUCGUUGAGUAUUGAAGAAAUUACGAACGUUUAAAGUUUACCCAAUUUCCGGCGAGUUUUCAAGUUUUCGCUUGGACCAGUCAACUUUGAGGCUAUUUUCCGGCCAUCUCCGACAACCAUUGGGCUUCGAAAUAGGUAUAAUCUUAUUCUACACUUUCCUAUCUUCAUUUUGAUAUAUUAUGGGUCGAAUUUGGUUAAGAAACGAUUGAGUUCCGAAGCUUUGAAAAUUGCCCAAACUUCCGGUCAAGAGCUCCGGGACACUUAACGGAGUUUUUAAUGGAAAAUGAUGGAUGGUGGACAAUCUCAAGGACCACUUUUAUUGAUUUGGAAUCUCAGGAACCAAAGUAAUGAGUUAUGCAAAUCUCAAGGACCAUUUUGGCGAUUUAGCCUAAAUAAAAUAGAAGGGGAAAAAAGAACUAAUGUCACAUUGGAACACCACACCACCAAAGUUUCUCAUGCUUUACAAGAUUCUGUAAGAUCUUAUUUUCAAGUGUAGUCAAGGCUUCUUUAGGUAAAGUGACAGUCAGUACAUGCAACAGGAUUCAUACAUUACUACACAUCGUGAUUGAUCCAUAUCCUGGUCAACAACAUUGUGAUAUCACAGUUCCAACAUUUUUUCCCAGAACCCCACAAUGUUUCCAAUAAAACAGCUAGUAAGAAAAUCCGAAUCAGACUAAAAGAAGGUAUAGUUGAAAUGCUAAUUAAUGAUAAUAACACGUAAAUAUCUAUCUGACGUAAUGACUUUUAAUUUUACUCUAAGAGACUAACCAUGUGGAGAAUCUUAUUGAAAGAAACUUGUAAUGACUUUUAAUUUCAAUCUAAGAGACUAACCAUGUGGAGAAUCUUAUUGAAAGAAACUUGUAUCAUUAAUUUAUCAAAGCAAUAUUAUUUCUGAGGUUAAGACUAAGGGCCUAGGUAAGGGAACUUUUGUUGAGUACUAACAUAGUGAAUAUCACAAGCAAAACUAGUGCGAAAAAUAGUCACCAAUUCGAGAUAAAUUUUUUAAAUGAACCUACAAGAGUUACAGUGAAUGUGCUAUAAAAAGGUUAGAUUAGAAUUUGGUUUUUAAGAACUUCACAUAGGCUGUCUCGUACACUUGUGAUGUAGACUCAAGUUUUCAAACCCAAAGCGCACAAGUUUGCAUUAAUAGGCAAGGAAUUUAUAGUCCUACAUAUUGGAACUUGAAAUCAUGCACCAACUUUAUCUUCUUCUUCUCGACUGAAGCCCUUUACCUAGUGCAAGCCAGAGACAAAAUAAAGUAGUAGUACUGAACCAUUUGUGUUACUUAUAACCUUCUUCUUCUCCGUUGAAACCACUGCUCUAUACCUUUUAAGGAUAACAUUUUCCCAAUUAUUCCAUCAUUUCUCAAAGCUAACCAUGGUUAGGGACAUUAUGAGUCAGAGUAAUUAUCAAGGAAGUCAUUGAUACCCCAUCCUUCUUUCCCACUCGCGAUUACUACAUAUAUGAACCUUUUGUGGCUUUAAAAGGAAAUAUAGUAUUCAUCCAAAUAAUUUAAAUUUUUUCUGGAAAAUAAUGAUUACGUGAAUGCAAGUUGUUGCAAACAAUCUAAAACGUGGCUUUUUAUAACAACAGGAAAUAAACUAAUACUUGGUUUAGCACUGGGACUCAAAGAAACUCUAGUUCAGAACAAGAUUCCAAACAUAAAAUACUGAAGCAAAUGAUGCGGAAUACCUCCAUGAAACGGAUAUGAUACACGGGCCGCUUCUCAGGGUCUUUUGCCAAUGCAAGAAGCUUUUGAUGUAACAAGACAUCUUCCACUCUAUCCAAGUUAACAUCAAGUCCGUAACUGCGCAGAAAACAAAAUUAGUAAAAUAAAUAAAUAAUGUAGAAUUCAUAGAAUUAGGUUCAUCAUCCUCCACAUCUAAAGAAAAAUGAAACAUUCAUGCUAUGGCUCUUAUGAAGUUUUACAGUGGAAAAUAUCUUGGAAAAUAUAGUGAAUACUUUUCCCAGUAAGGUUUUAAACAAAGCUUCAACAUAACAUAAGGUCUGGAAAGGUUGGCCUUGAAAUAACAUUUCUUGACAGACCUAAGGAAAAUUUUGUGCCUCCUGGAAAGGUACUUCCAAAAAGAAUUGACUGCGAAGUGCGGAACUAAUUUCAGUCCAUACACACAUUGCAGAGUUUCAAUUGUAAACCUUUACACUAGUCACAUGGUCAAACCGACCAACUCUUACAGAAAUAAUAGGCAAGAAAACAACACUCAAACAGCACUGCCAGCUCAAAAAAUAAUCAGGUCCAUACAGAACAAAUAUUAGAUCACAUAACCAAUUUGAUAUUCAAACAUAUGCAUAAACUUAUUCGUGCUCAAACAUUAAAAACUUCACUGAUACUGCUCCGAAAGCAUAUUAACUCAAGAAAUCAAUCAUGUUGGGAUCAUCAUUUGAGACUCUAAGAGCUUCAUAAGGGUUCGUACUUCAAUAAUACGGUUCGUACCAUAAUACACCAAUCCCAAAACUACGGAGCACUGGUUAACCAAAUAUCUUCGAAGACCUACUGAAGGGUUCAUGUUGAGACACCCCUACCUAAGCACAUGAGUUUCUCUCCAACCAGGAGCCCAAUCACAAUGCUAAAGCUUCUAAAGUCCCACAUCAACCACAGACGAAAUAGGCAAUUCUCCUCAACUAUAAAAGGAGAUUGUUCUCCCACAAUUGAUCCCUGAUGAUCUUAUUUUGCUUAAUCCACUAUUAGAACUCACUAAGUAAUGAUUCUGUCUAAAUCCUUGUAUCAUGUAAACUCUCUCUACAUUAUUUAUGAGAACUCCUCCAUCCGACGUAGCCCAAUUUAAGGUGAACCAUGUAUGAUUGCUGCCCUUUUAUCCCUUAACUCUGUACAUACUCUCAUCACUAGGUGACCGAAGCAACUUAGCAAGGAUCGCAUAUUGACACUCUACGUUAUUCCAAAGUCAACCCAGUUUUGUGCAUCAACAAAUACAAUAAUGUUUUGUUCUGAAAAAACUAAUUCCAGAAAUAAAUCAAUGGCGGAAGUUCGUUAAAAUUAAAGAAUAAAAAGAAAUGAAAUGAAAAACAAUCUUAUAGAGGAAAGCGAUCGAAGGGGAAUACCUAGGCGGCAAGCGGUUGAAGUGACCGUCCAACUGUUCACGGAAUUCGGGCAGAGUCAGAGCGUCUUCAUGGCCGCUCUCCACCAAGCGGUUGUAGACAUCGUUUCGGACAUCGUAGUUACUGAAGCUGACGAAGCUUCUCGGCGGCGACGAGCUCUCUCCGACGCCCUCGGUCAAAUCCAUAGGGGAAGCUCAAGUCAGCAGGUUUUCCACGAAAAUACAGAAGAGAAGGAGGAGAAAGCGAGCUCGGAGAGUUGUCAAUGAUAAGCAGAGGAUCUUUGACUGUUGGUGGAAUCCGGGAAGAAGACGAGGAUCUGUUGGGGAUUUCGGGCGGAAAGCAGAGGGCAAUUUCGUCAUACAAAAUCACUGUAGCAUCGUGAAGUUUCUCGAGAGCGAAGGCUAGUUUGGAGGAGAGAAUGUCAUGGUUGGAGUGAGUGAGUAGAGAGACAAAAGAAGACCUCCGUCUCAGCAAGAGAAAACUUUUUCCAUUUUUUAAUUUUUUUUUUAUAUAUAUUAUAUAUCAAAUAAUGUGGAUUGGAUAUGGUUGAAAAUGUGGGACAAUAUAAUAAUGUUUUGUAGUUAAGAAAACGCCUCGGUUUUUGAUAGAUUUUUUUUCAAUGUGAUCGUAUAUACGAAACGGUAUGUUAUAUGUUGUUGUUAAAGUAAAAUAAAAUUUUAUUUUAAAUUUAUUCUCUUAACUUAUAUAAUAAUUUAUGAUAUAUGUAACCGCGUUUUGGAUAUAUUGAAAAACCACUCUUAAAUUUUGGGCACAAUUUCAUGUGAGUCACAUCAUGUUGUAUAGGAGAAAAUAUGGCCUGCUGUUUACAAGUAAUCACAUAAAAAAGCUCAUACCAUAAUUAUGACGCAAUUGUAUAUUUAUUCUUUCUCUAAUAAUGGAUUCUCAUUUUGUAGAGAGGGAAAUGUUAAGGAGACUCAUAGUUUUUUAGGAUUGUGUUAUUCACACAUCCUGUUUAUCUUUCACAUAUUCCUCUUAGUUUUUACAAUCGGACCGAAUUAAUUAAAAAAUAUUAAAAAACAGAAAUUAACAAAAAAUGUGUAGAAAGUAAAAAUAAGAUGUGGAUAACACCACCUUUUUCUUAUUGUGAGUAGCAUAUCUAAUCACUAGAAGCAUUAGAUAUAUCCUAUGGAAGUUGAAAGCAAGUGUUCUGUUUAUAAGUGCUUACAAAAUUAUUUUUUAUUUAUUUAAUACGAAAAAGAGAUUACAAAGUAGAAGUGCUUAAGAGAAUAACACACCAAAACGAUCAAAAAGCAUCUGGCACAUAUAAAGGUACCAUUAUUCCACAACUGAGAAACGUGGAACUUUAUGUCCUAGGGCGUCCGCUACAAAGUUGACCACGAAGAAAGGAAUGAGAGUCCGAAUGUCUUUGAGUAAAGUAACGAGCGUCCAUGGAAGUUGAAUAUAGUGUAGACAACAAUCAUGACAUCCCCUUCAACUUUGACAUCUCUCCACCUAUGAGUGAAGGAUAGAGACACACUUUGAUCCAGAUAUCCAGGUAGACACUAAAAUUGAGGCAUGUUGACUAACAUUUAGAAGAUCACGAAGUCAUAACAUGUAAAUAAUGUGUAGAUUGUAUAAAUAAAUUAAAGAUUAUAAAUGCAUGUAAUGAAAAGAAGAGUAUCUAAUUAUACACAGCCAAUAUUCAAAACAUAUAGGUAUGUACACGCAAUUUAAAAUUAAAAAAAAAAAAGAUUCUGGAUUGUACUUAAAAGUAACAUUCGCCUUAAAACAUUCAUAAAUUCAUGAAAAUAUGACUUGAGCUUCUCCUAUGGACAUGGAAGAUAUGUUUGGUGAUGCAUUAGAGUAUGAUCCGCAUACAUCUUUGCAUAUAAAUUGGCCAAGAUAGGAAGUCUUUGACGGAUUAUGCCGUUUACCGCAGUAGACUUCGAGUUUUAGAAGACCAUCACACUCUUUGUAAUGGUAUGGUCAAUCAGAUGGUCGAGUAAAGAGUCACUUAAUUAAUAUUGCUUGUUCUUAUGUUCCUUUAUUUUUAUUUUUAUUUUUGAAGUCGGGUAUGAUUUAAUUUACGUAAUUGUUUAAUUUUAUUUAUGUAAUUGUGUGUUUUUAUGUAAUAGUGUGCUUUUAUUUAUAUUCUCAGUAUAACAACAAGUAUAAGCACGAAGAUAAUUAUCAUUAAGAAUAUUGACAUUAAAUUACAUAAAAGCAUUGAGUAAAUAGCAAUCAUAAAAAUAUUAACAUUACAUGAGCAUAAAAGAAUUGAGUAAAUAUAAUCAUAAACGUCACUGUACGUGGCAACAUGCUGCUAGUUGAUGAUUCAGUGGUUAAGGACGGAUUACAAGGCUUUCUUCAAACUAAAAAUUGGAGGUAUCGGGUCCGAACCUUGCUACUGGUGUGGACGCUAGACUUGUGACCAGGAGGAGGCUAAAAUGUCUCUGUAAGUCUUCCCGGCCCUUGAAAGAGAUGGAUAACCGUAGCUUACCAAUUGUUAUCCGCUCUAUAACCAACGGGGAGCUCUCCGUAGCUCGUUUGACUUCAGCAGUGAAUGAAUCAAAUAUCCACGUCGAUCUGCUUGAGGUAGCUAGAUCACCCUAAUCUAUGGAAGUUUAUUAUUUCCAAAUCUAUCUACGAUUAACCCCCAAUAUUUUCAAACAUAAUAAUACUUAACGAAGUGGAAUAAAAAUAAAUAAAAUAAACUUUGAAUUUUGCUACAGAUACUCGAGGUGUACAUAUACAAUAUGUGGACAUAUAUAUACCUUGACGAGAAGCUUGAGGCAAAUAUCAUCAGACUGGGCUGCAGAGCCCUUGGUCGUUUUGUUCUUAUUUCUGGCAAAAAGAUCAACCUCCUAUACAUCAGUACAUACAAUAUUAUUAAGUAAUAUACAUGCAAUACAAAAACGAGAUAGAGAGGGCGCUUGGAGCGCAAUUGCUUGGUUGCUGCUAAUGCCGAUGAAGCAAAGGUUUUUAGAAGCUUUAUAGAAUAAUGGAUAUAAUGGAACUUGAUGACAUAUGUGAGAAUAUGAUGAACGUUAUAUUUUUGAAGCUCUUUUUAUUAUGCCGACAAAUAUAUUAAUUUAUAUUUCUGAAAUGGUUUAUAGUGUGAAUAUUGUAGAGUAAAAUUUUGGUGCAUCUGAAAAACCAUCACGUGUUAUUAUUUCAUUCAAAACUAUAACACAUGUAUUUUCUUUUUUUAUUUAAUAUUCCUAAAAGACUAACAUUUCAACUAUGUACCAAAGCUACGGAAGUUUGUAGUUUCGAAUAUAUUGGUAGCUAAAUCACCCAACUCUACAACUUCAUUGCUUCGACUUUCUUUUGGCUAACAAAACGCCAAGCCAAACGACUUUGGAUAAAUCUUUAUCCACCUGCUAACCAAUCAUUUAUGCCCAGCUCUACCAUAAGAAGGAGAGGUUGUUCCGAAAGAGAUUUGCAAAAGGUUUUGUUCCAAUAAGGAUACUACUGUUCAACUCUCCACGAAGUUACACACAAAAAAUAAUAAUAAUAAUAAUAAUAAUAUGCACUUGUGAGAAGUGCCAACACUGUGCCACGAUCCCACACAUUCAUGUUAAACCUCUUAGAAGAGCAUAGGACCAGGUUGACGUAAGGAACGUCGCUAAUCAAGACGUCUCAAAUUACUACGGUUCUAGAGUCAACGUCUGCUCUUUAAAACUAUGAGACUAGGUGUUGAAGAAGAAAAUAUCAAAUAAACAAGACUCAAUUGUGAGUACACUUGACAUGAAUUGGGACAGACCAUACGAGAUCAUUGACAUAUAUCGCCCAGGCACAUACAUACUUAAAGAUGGCAGAACACAUGAUCAUCCAUGUAAUGUUGAUCAUCUAAAGUAUUACUACAAGUAGACAGUUCAACAUACUUAGUGAAGAGUCAAUUCAGACAAACUUUGUCUCAACCUGACACCUUAAACAAUCGUACUUAGCCAAACUUUAAAACAAACCAACAUUAUAACUUAAAAGCUCAUCCAUACAUACCUCAAUGAAGUUUAAAACCACCUUCAAAAAGGAACAUGAUUCAUAAGAGCAUCAACAUAAACUUUAAACAUGAUAAAAAUUCCACGAAGACAAAUCCACAAGGUAUCCAAGUCAAUGAUCAAUCAUAUUUAAAGCCAACAUUAGUACAUAAUUUUUUUAUUUUUAAAGUCAACAAGAGAAUACAACCUAAGUUUAGGACGCAACAAUCAACAUUCUCAUAAUAAAACUAAGAGACCACAAAUUCAUUCUCAAAGCAAAGUCAAGAUGCAAUAAUCAUCUUACAAAACCAUUUUGUUUUUUUUUUUCAAUAUAUUGAAUGAUGAGGUGUAACAACCCGUCCCAAAUUUUACAAUUUUAUAAAUUUUAAAAGUGUGAAUUGAUGAAAAUGCCCUAGAGGCAAGGAUUUUGACUUCCGUUGACCAUCAAUUUGAGAGAUGUAUGACUUAUUCUUUUAGCGUAAUUGUGUAGUACUCGUUAGUACGAACGCAUAGGUGAAGACCGUUUGCGAGUCUGAAUUAUAAUGGUAUAGAUAGGGACAUUUGAAAUUGUGUUACUAAACUAUAGAUUUAAAUUUAAUUAAGCUUCCCUCAAAUGUAUGUUAAUUAUGGGACCAAUUAGAUAAAUAUUUGAGGGACCAAUCAGCAUGGGUAACGAAAAGGGGAUCAGCCAAUCAGAAAAAAAAAAAAAAAAAAAAAAAAAGAGGGAGGGGGGUGGACUCCCAACUUUCCCGUGCACCCUUGAACCAUCCCGAUUUCAAAUCGGCGAACUUUCGCCAGUUUUUUGUUGAUCACCACCAUCCAUCACCUGCAACAUCUUUCACAUCUUCCCCUCUACUAUUUCCACUCAAAUUUGGGAUUUUUUUUAAGGUCAAAACCUUGUAAAACUGUGAGGGGUGGCCGAAAGUGUUCCACGGCGAUUCUGCCGUUCCGGCGAGUUUCACCACUCAUCACCACCUCUAAUCUACUCCCCUUGGACCCAGGAACAAAGCCCAAACAACCUUGGAGGCGUCGGAGCACCGGUGACGACGAAUUAAAGCACACCCAUUCUAGGGUUCUGGUGGGUUCGUGGAAAAUUGAGGCUCUUCCAGGUCAAAUUGGCCUUGGUCAUAGGUAUGAAAGUUGCUCCACUCAUUGAGAUCUUCAUUUCUGUGAAGUUUGAGAAUUUUUAGAAAUAGUUGGAUUUUCCGACGAGUUGGGGUGGCCGACCACCACCCACUGCGGCGCGUGCGGCGGCACGUGGCCACUUUUAGGCUAAAUUAGAUGUCUUGAAUUCAGUUUUGAUAUUCGUAUAAUGUAGGUUGAUCGUUUGAAUCUAAAUUCAUUACGAUACGUUAUUUGGUAAAAAUGUGAAUCGACGAUCCAACCGUUGGAUCGUCACUAAACUUUAAUACAUUCUAGUACAUAAUAUUUAAGGACCAUAGAAACUUACGGAUUAGGAAUCUGAUGAACAAAUCUUCCUGAAUUGGAUUUGUAAGUUUAUAAAAUAAAUGUUAACCGUCAUUUAGUUUUGGCAAUUGACGGAAGUCCGACCGUUAGAUCGUAAUGAAAUUUUAGUAUGUUAUUCUAGAAGCAUAAUUUGGAUCUUUAGAAGUUUCGGAUUGGAAAUCUGAUAUGCGGAUCUUCCGAAGUGAGUUUACAGGGUUGUAGACCCAACCGUCGAUCUUUGAUCGACGGUUGACUUAUGGUCAAUGGGUCUCAAACUAUUUUAGAAUGUCCUUGAGAAUGUGUUUUAUGUGAAUUACAUAUUCUAUUGAUAAGAGUUAUGAGAUGUGAUUAUGUAAUUGUUCUAGGCGCCAAUUAUUCGAGACGCCUCAAUGCAAGUGCUAGAGAAUCAUAGUGUGGACUCUAGGUGAGUGGGUCUUUUCCUUUUAUCAUAGGUAUAUAAUUGAUAGUUCCUCAAAUGCUUCUAAAGUGAAUUAUGCAUGUUACCUACAAUUAAUUAUUGUGAACUACGAAUGGCUUAAUCCCUAUUUAGGGUACAUAGGCAGUCUAACGAUACGUUAGAUGCAGCCAUACAAUAAAUGAGACUAACUAACUGAGACAAUAGUCUUGUUUAGGGAAUUGAGUAAUGUGAGGGACAUUGGUGGAAAAUAUAAGAUUUAACUUUAUGAUUUGGUGUUUAAAUAUUGGUCAUAAAUCAAUGAAUGAAGAAUCAGGAAUUUGAAGUAAGGAAACGUAAGUAAUGAUGGUUAAUUAAACUAGUAUCUAGUAGGGCUUACCAUUGAUAAUUAUCUCCGAAAAUAAGUAGUUCGGGAGUAGGGCGUUAUAGAUUAUGCAUUUCACACCAUGUUAUAUAUAUACUUGAAAAUACUAUGUUAUAGUUGAGUUUUAAAUUGCAUCAUGACAUAUUUAUAUGUGUAUCACCUAAACCUAAUUAUUGUGAAUGCUUCGAAGUGCCAAAUGAUGUUGCGGACGCCCAGGUAAGCUUCAGGUGAGUACACGUUGAUGAUAGUGAUGGUAGUGAGAUAUGUGAUGAGAUAUUAAUUGGCUAGCAUGUUGAUGAGAUAUUGAUUUAGCCGUACAGUUCACGUGAGGUGACUCUGGCUAGUAUAUUGAUGAGAUAUGUGAUGAGAUAUGGAUGAUGAGAUAUUGAUUUAGCUGUACAGGUCACAUAAGGUGACUCCAGCUAGUAUAUUGAUGAGACAUGUGAUGAGAUAUGGAUGAUGAGAUAUUAAUUGGCUAGCAUGUUGAUGAGAUAUUGAUUCAGUCGUACAGGUCACGCUAGGUGACUCCGGCUAGUAUAUUGAUGAGAUAUAUUAAGAGAUAUAAAUAAAGUUGUACAUGUCACUAUAAGUGACUCUGACUUAUAUGCUAGCAAUGAUUAAUAAGAUAUAUGAGGAGAUAUAAAUAAAGCUGUAUAGGUCACUAUAAGUGACUUCGGCUUAUAUGCUAGGAACGAUUAAUGAGAUAUGUGAGGAGAUACGGAUAAGUUGUACAGGUCACUAGAGGUGACUCCGACUUAUAAGCUAGCAUAUGUGACGAAUAUGUGAUAAGCUAGCAUAUGUGAUAAAUAUGCGAUGAGCUAGCAUAUGUGAUGAAUAUGUGAUAAGCUAGCAUAUAUGACGAAUAUGUGAUAAGCUAGCAUAUGUGAUAAAUAUGUGAUAAGCUAGCAUAUAUGAUGAAUAUGUGAUAAGCUAGCAUAUGUGAUGAAUAUGCGAUGAGCUAGCAUAUGUGAUAAGCUAGCAUAUGUGAUGAAUAUGUAAUAAGCUAGCAUAUGUGAUGAAUAUAUGAUAAGCUAGCAUAUGUGAUGAAUAUGUGAUAAGCUAGCAUAGGUGAUGAAUAUGUAAUAAGCUAGCAUAUGUGAUGAAUAUGCGAUAAGCUAGCAUAUGUGAUGAAUAUGCGAUGAGCUAGCAUAUGUGAUGAAUAUGCGAUGAACUAGUAUAUGUGAUGAGAUACAGGUAAGUCGUACAGGUCACCAUAGGUGACUUCAACUUGGGUACUAGCAUGAGUUAUUAAUCACAUGAUUAUUUGAUAUUGCUAACGAGAUGCUGUCUUGUGGUAUAUUUAUGAUAUUUUCUGAAAAUUAUACAGGUGUUGUAGCGAGGGGUUAUAAUGUUUUAAAUGGUUUCUAUUAAAAUUUAUUCACAGGGCUACUCACCUUUGUCUUGUCUUCACCCUCCAGGUUUUAUUAGCUGAGUUUUCUUAUCGUUGAAGAUUCGUGGCGGUUCUUGGUAUUGAAGAUUAUUUCGAGGGUACAAUUCUUAAUUCACUCUUAUGUACUUGCUUAUGCUCUAACAUUACGUGUGAAGUAGAUUCAUUCCCGCUCACCGGUGUACUCUGGUAUUUAGGCACUCUUAGGUUUUAAAUUAUUCACAUUUUUCCACAUCAUCACACUUUAUGGAUUCGUCACCUUCCAGGUGUCGGCCAGCACAGUUCGAUUCGGAGUCCUAGUAAACAUUCCGGGUCGGGGUAUGUUAUGAGGAGUGGCUAGGUUAAAGUUGUGGGGCAAUAUGUUAUGAAAGAAGCAGAAGCGAGAAUGUCAACUUGAGUAACAUAAACAUUGGUGAUGGGUUCUCCAUUAAUUUUCAUUUCUUCUAUGCAACGCGGGAUAGGUCAACAUGGUAGCUUGAUAUAGAAGAAUAUAUUUUGUGUUUUAGAAACAAAUUUUUUGUGAGUCACGUCGUAUUUUAUACAAAAAAAUGUGGGCCAUGAACUGCUAUUUACACAUAAUCACAAAAAUAAAUAAAUAAAUUCAUGCCAUGAUUAUGAUGUAGCUCCACAACUAUAAGCUUAUCUGGGAUGCAUUCUGAUAAGCUGACGAACUAGUGUACACAAUUGUAUUUUCAUUUGUUCGAAUAACUGGAGUUGAAUUUUGUUUAGUAUUAUCAUGUUUAUUUUUAUUUUUAUUUUUUACCUUAAGUAGCAUAUCCGGUUACUAGAAGCAUUACACAUAUCUUAUCUAUUUUCAUGUAAUGAGAGUGUGAGGCAAGUGUUUUGUUUAAGAAAAUGUUGAUAAGACAACUUUAUUUGGUACGGGAAAGAGAUUACAAACGAAAACACCUAGGGCGUAAUAAAGGGUAGAACUUGCAUAGGAAAAUUCUAUUCGAACCAAAAAGUUAUCAAAUAUUCUAUCCAAUUUAAAUAUGAAUCCAUGAAGUUUCGAAAUCCGAAAAAUUAAAAAAUACUGGAUAAGAACAGGAAUACAAUUUGCAAUUUGUAUAACAAUCUGUCCUUAAUUUUAAGAUUUUAUUAAUUUUAAAUGUGUGAAUUAAUCAAAAUGUUCUUAAAGGUUAGAUUGUUGACUUUCGUUGAUCGUUAUCUUAUAAUACAUACAAGCUACUAUUUUACUGUAUUUGCAUAUUACUCAUUACUACGAAUGUACAUGAUAAAGAUUUUACGAAAUUACGAAAUCAGGAGGUAUUUUAGCAGAUUCACUAUUCUGGAUAAUUUUUUCCUUAUUAUUUUAUAUUUUUCUGGUGGAAUUUUGUGUCUUGUGGAACCCAUACCCCACUUCUUCCUUGUCCCCGUGUCCCAUUUUCGCCAUACUUCUUGGUCUCUCUCAUUUCAAUCUCUCUCUUUGCCUUGUCACUCCAUCUCUUCUUCUGCCACCUUACCACCACCUACUCUCUCUCUCUAAAAAUCUCUCAUCUCUCACUCUCCAUUUAUUUGUCUCUCGGCAAACACCGAAUGGGUGCAAUGGCAACGCCAUCAUCGCCGCUAACCUUGUUACCCUGACGAGAUUUACGAGUUUUCCAGCCCAGAAACUAGGAUCUCAUACUGCCAACUCAACCCAGACAUGAACUUGC